RNAcentral lists this ribosomal RNA (223 nucleotides) under Vibrio cholerae. Its description in RNAcentral is "partial 16S ribosomal RNA". It matches the Rfam family "Bacterial small subunit ribosomal RNA", at positions 1 to 220 of the family's 1533-position model. Lineage: Bacteria; Pseudomonadati; Pseudomonadota; Gammaproteobacteria; Vibrionales; Vibrionaceae. The record is from RNAcentral.
UAAUUGAAGAGUUUGAUCAUGGCUCAGAUUGAACGCUGGCGGCAGGCUUAACACAUGCAAGUCGAGCGGCAGCACAGAGGAACUUGUUCCUUGGGUGGCGAGCGGCGGACGGGUGAGUAAUGCCUGGGAAAUUGCCCGGUAGAGGGGGAUAACCAUUGGAAACGAUGGCUAAUACCGCAUAACCUCGUAAGAGCAAAGCAGGGGACCUUCGGGCCUUGCGCUA